Molecule: ribosomal RNA, 486 nt
Filed under: uncultured bacterium
Lineage: Bacteria
Description: bacterial SSU rRNA
Rfam family: Bacterial small subunit ribosomal RNA
Source: RNAcentral
AAGGUUCUUUCGGGAACUGGAGAGUGGCGCACGGGUGAGUAACGCGUGGGGACCUACCUCUUAGUGGGGGAUAACGGUUGGAAACGACCGCUAAUACCGCAUACGCCCUUCGGGGGAAAGAUUUAUCGCUAAGAGAUGGACCCGCGUUGGAUUAGAUAGUUGGUGAGGUAACGGCUCACCAAGUCAGCGAUCCAUAGCUGGUUUGAGAGGAUGAUCAGCCACACUGGGACUGAGACACGGCCCAUACUCCUACGGGAGGCAGCAGUGGGGAAUAUUGGACAAUGGGCGGAAGCCUGAUCCAGCCAUGCCGCGUGAGUGAAGAAGGCCUUCGGGUUGUAAAGCUCUUUCAGAUGCGAAGAUGAUGACGGUAACAUCAGAAGAAGCCCCGGCUAAUUUCGUGCCAGCAGCCGCGGUAAUACGAAAGGGGCAAGCGUUGUUCGGAUUUACUGGGCGUAAAGGGCACGCAGGCGGUCUUGCCCANUCAAG